GGCCCUAACAGUAUAAAACACCUAGACUGACUUCACCUUAAACAUAAAUUGAACAAAGCUCUUGAGAUUCGUUAAUAACAAGAAUAUGCAGUCGUCAACUAUCAUUUGUUUGCUCCUUUUUUUCUCAUGUAUUACUCUGACCGAGCAGCUGAAGUUAUGUUCUAAAACUUGCAAUGGUUGUAAAGGAUGUUGUGCAAGAAGAGGCUGCAAUUCUUUCAAUUCUUGGAGUUGUGUAAACAAUAAAUGUUAUUGUGAUUGUGGAGGAUAUCGUACAAAGGGUAAUAAGAAGUAAAAGAAAAUAGAAGCCAGCAACAAUAAGUAACGCUUUAUUUAAACUCAUUGUAAGAUGUAAACCUUACCAAUAUAUACAGAGUAUUAUAUAAAUUGAUAGAAUUUUCA
Molecule: long non-coding RNA, 399 nt
Organism: Mytilus trossulus (common blue mussel)
Lineage: Eukaryota; Metazoa; Mollusca; Bivalvia; Mytilida; Mytilidae
Exons: 3
Source: RefSeq, a predicted model, not a curated record